CCAUACCAGCCGGGGAAUUAGCGGAGCCCUGUACCUGAAAUCCGCUACAGCAGGGGUUCAUUCCUUUUUUGAGGGCUGAGCUUUUAUGGUCUGUGUCGUAUUCUGCUGUGUUGAGAAGUGGGUCUUGCGCAAACGGAAACUGUGAAGCGUGUCAGGUGGGGAACCAAGCAGCACUAAGCAGUCUCUCCGGUGUGCCGCGAGGGUGCCUGCUUUGAGCAGUGGGUAUGUACGUCGCAUAGGGGCGAUGUUCGAUUUUAAGGUGUAUGG
This 267-nucleotide signal recognition particle RNA is filed under the name Clostridia bacterium. RNAcentral's name for it is "signal recognition particle sRNA large type". It matches the Rfam family "Bacterial large signal recognition particle RNA". Rfam says of the family: The signal recognition particle (SRP) is a universally conserved ribonucleoprotein involved in the co-translational targeting of proteins to membranes. Archaeal SRP consists of a 7S RNA and homologues of the eukaryotic SRP19 and SRP54 proteins. The record is from RNAcentral. Lineage: Bacteria; Bacillati; Bacillota; Clostridia.